GGUUGUGGCUCAGUGGUAGAGCACUUGCCUAGCAUGCAUGACAUGCUGGGUUUGAUCCCCAGCACCA
This 67-nucleotide transfer RNA is filed under the name Marmota marmota marmota (Alpine marmot). It matches the Rfam family "tRNA". From Rfam's summary of the family: Transfer RNA (tRNA) molecules are approximately 80 nucleotides in length. Their secondary structure includes four short double-helical elements and three loops (D, anti-codon, and T loops). The record is from Rfam by way of RNAcentral. Lineage: Eukaryota; Metazoa; Chordata; Mammalia; Rodentia; Sciuridae. RNAcentral also lists the same sequence under 1 other name.